This 5103-nucleotide ribosomal RNA is filed under the name Triticum aestivum (bread wheat). RNAcentral's name for it is "partial small subunit ribosomal RNA". Lineage: Eukaryota; Viridiplantae; Streptophyta; Magnoliopsida; Poales; Poaceae. The record is from RNAcentral.
GGGGGAAGGGGGCGGCCGGGCGAGAGGGGGGUGGGCGGCGUGGUGCAGGGGGCGACGGCCAAGCUGAGCUAGGCCGGCCGGGGCUGGGCGGCCUCUAGCUCCUCCCGAGCGGACUCCGGGUCGUCCGGGGCGCCGCUGGCCCCAGGGGCCGUUAAGGCGGCGGUUCCUCCACGCCUCCGCGUAGGGGCGCGGGCGGGCGCGAGGGAGGGAGGGAGGGCGAGGCGAGGCGAGGUCCCUUCUUCCCUUUCGCGCGUAGAACGUUCCUGCUAAACAGGCAAGCAGCAGCAGGGGGUCGACCACGCCACCCAACCGAGCGAACGAGUCGAGUGGAGUCGAGUGCCCCGGCCUAAACCAGACCGCCACGCCCACGCCAACCCCACGCUUAAUUUUUUCCCGCUCCUCCCCCUCACCAAUCAAGAAGGGAACCGGCGAACGUCGCCCCCGCGAUCGACGAAGCAACCGAACGAGCACGGUAAUUUCCGCAGGGGAAGGAGGGAGGCGGGGGGAGGGAGAGGGGGGCAGGGGGCCACCAACCCAAGAGCCUUCUAGACGCCGCCAAGAACGGUCCCCAAACCCGUCUAAGCCUCCUUCUUCUGCCCCGGGCCGAGACUAAGCGGCACCAUAAAUACACGGUACUCCUUCGAGAAGAAGAGGCUCAACUGGAGGACGUUCCUCUGGUUCGAGGUCAGGCGGUGGGUGAGUACCGACGGGUACCUGUUUCCGUUCGAGAGGUUCAAGUGACCGGUGAGGUCGAGGAGGAGGAGGAGCUAUCUUAGAGACUACUUUUACGGCCUCGGCGGCCAGGAGGGCGUGAAGUUCGGACGACUGAUGCAGCUGUAUAACCGAGUCUAAGUGCUCCUCGACCUCAUGACGGGAGGACUACUCUUCAGCACGGACAUGGACGAGGUCAAGGUCCAAAAGGCGCCCGAACCUCUCCGGUUCGACAGCGCUUCCUCGGAGGUCCGACGGACCCUCUUCCGCUCGUGCUAUGUGCUCUUCGAGUAUAAGCCCCGUACCGAGUUCAUGCUCUUCUCUCCCCUCCUCGGCUAUAGACUGGAAGAACCGAGCACGCCGUUCACGAGAGUUCUCAAGUUCGACGACCUAAAGCAGAGUGUCUAGAGGCGGCUCAGCGUGCCCUAUUCGAUGCUACUGCUUAGACUACUCAAGGUCCCGAGGGGCCACCAAGUAAAGGCCUAUUCCCUACUGUACUAACGUACGCUAUCCGCCUUCGAACGCCGGAACAGUUGAGGUGACAUACGCUACGAAUUACCACCCAAAUUCCUCAGUGUAGAACUUCAGUAACUGUACAGAGCCUUGCCGUAGAGGGGAUAACCAUACGCUCGGUAGUCAUUUAAGUCGGACAGUCCUUCUGAUGGCAUAAACAGUCGUCUUAGAUAAAACCUCUACGAACUAAAACGAUUGUUUAAGACGACGUUCCCGGAGUUCCUACGAACGCUCGUUUUUGAACGAAGAAAACAAAGAAGGUCCGUUCUACGGUAUCUAAUGUACCUCACACGAUAACUCGACCCGACAAGGUAUGAACGGCGCAGUACGAACGUCCACGAGGACUUACUCGAAGGUCUUACGAACUUACUACUCGUUCACCAAUCCUAUAAGAGGAGGCGCUUAUUCGUCGUCUCUAGGUGAUACCGACCGUUACGUAGAAAGAGGGAUAUAACGGAAGAACCACUUCAGAGGUACUCGUAGUCACGUUGUAGUCUACAGUGACAUUCGAAGAACCUCUUCGACCAACUGAGUCGUAGUCUAAGAUCUGUCUUCGUCAACCGGAACGUAGUUAACCGAACGCACUCCGACGAUUCCUUUCUAGUACGACUCCGACUCGCGGACAAGUUACGGCGGAAAUGGCGACCAGUACAGAUGAGCCAUCACCCGAACCGAUCUAACCGGAGAGACUCCUCAUUAUUUGUAAUAAGAGAGUUGAACGAACUGAGACAGUACAGUAGAGCCACCGGAGAACCCACCUACAUAGUUCUCUCUCGGGAUAUAGACCUGCCACUAUCGUUCAAUCUCUUAGAGUUAUUCCGAUGACUUGACCUAGGAUGGGAAUGUAUGGGGAUAUACAAAGCUCGACGUAGAAACUACUUUUCCGUUUCACAACUUCGACGGGACUACCUCUAAUUGGCCUAGGACCCCAAGUUCGACCAGGACCUUACGAAUCUCGAUUCCAAGACAACGAUGGAACGAGAUCUCCUGAUGUCCCGACGGAAUACGCUACACGUCCGUUAGGAGUGCGAACGAGGUCUAAUAGCAUACUAACCACCAGCCCACCGACGCUUCGUCGACGCAUGCGAACACUACCUCUUACAUCUCGUUACCUGCUGACGACUAACGACCUACGUCGAAAUACUAGCCACCAGGAGACACCUACUAUAACCUAGGGAGAGCCAGUAUAUAGUUUACGACCUCAGUCUACGACGAUUCCCUCAUGACAUGAAGUCUGUUAGAAACGACGAAGAGUCUAAUUUAACAGGACUCCGACGUUACGCGUCGAACGUCGAACGAGCACUCGUACGUCGUUCGGUGGUACUUGCCGAACAAAUGCUUCCUACCUAUGACAUACUAUGACCGGUGACGCUCCUUCCUAACGUCUUUCGCCUUCGUAGCUAACGGUAUGUCUCUAGUAAACUCCGCAAGAAAGAUUUUCGAAUACGAAAUCGACUAAGCUCAGAACUCCGCAGUUGGAGUCGUUGUCAGCAUAGCGAAGAACUUCUACGUAAUGCCACAGGGAGUCUAUCUGAAUCCUUCCCGGUCCGAAACUUAUUGGAACCCUCACAAAUACACCUAACGCCCUUAGACCUGAACCGUCGACUUACGAUGUAAUUGCGAAAUUUCUAACCGGUGUGCUCUCGAGUAGUUCCGGAACGGUCCCAAGUAAAGGAAUCCUUAUUGUCCUGGCCACGUAAGCUCCUUUACUGGUUCGACUAUCUCUUCCGGUCCUCGUUACGUAGUCGCAUGCUCUUCUCCAGACUCAUAACACUGGCCCUAGAUUGAUUUCGACUAGACGUCUACCAGUGGUUUGAACUGGGGGAGGCCCAGAUGGGGAUGUCUAUGGCACGGCGACAAGACUACCUGUUGGUGUUCCUCUUUCUACGGUAGAGUCUCGACUGAUUCCGUUAACGGAAAUUCCGCCUGGACUUGGACGAGGUAGACGCACGCCGGAAGGUGCUCGUGCACCCACUGUAGAGUCCGCGGGAGGCCCUGACGGCGCGUCGUGAAAGGCACCUGGGGUUGGUGGUCCUUUACGAGCUCGAAGUAGUAGCCCACUUGUCGGUUCUUGGGACUCGGGCAACAACAUGUAUGUCCUCCCCGAGGGUAUCGCUUUUGGGUAUGGUCACAUACAAGACAUGGUAUGUGUCGUUCGUCAUUAAAAAUCAAAACUACCAUAGAUCACUCCGACAUUCCUAACACUAGUAGUUUUGCUGAUUUUAAUUCGGUGCACGAUAUACCUUUUAUAAUGUAAGGUGAACACAGUGAACCGAUUGUGAUUGACCCGUUAUCCGAAGUCGUACGUUGUUAUACGUAACUUGGCUUCCGGACCGACAACACAGGUAGUCAAAAACGUGACGACAUUUUAGGUGAAGAAAACACAAUCAUGAAUCAUCACUUAGACGACGUUGUACGUCAAACUAAACAGGUAACACAAUGGUAAAAGUACAAAACAUUUGACGAUUUAUCGUGAUAAUCAACUAGGAGUCAGACGUCUACAUUUCUAUCAAGUUCAUCAACAAAAACGCACUAAUUGAUACCAAUCCCGGACUUUUAACCUAUAGUAAAGACUAAAGUACCAACCAUUUGACCAUUUUAUGUGACGAUUAUCAACGUAUACCAACUUCUGACCUUACUAGACGUUCUCUACAACAAUGGCGACGUACAAUAAGAAGACUACCUGUCCAACGUUACCACCCUAGAGUGUUCCCUUCGACGGUAAAUAAACUAUGUUGACAUACGAGGUCCUUCGAGGAACCCUCAGGACUGAUGAAGACGUCUCAGUUCUUAGGCACAACCAUUACCGCUACUCGAAGAGCGGAAGAGGUGUCUAAAUUUCCAUUUUAAGGCAAGAGGAAGUAACAUUUUACAGAUCCUAUACAAACGACUAGUUUUAUGUUAAAAUAAAAAACGUUUAGAUCUCGUUUACUUGUUACAAUAAGACACAUUAAGUUAGACACCACUGGACAACGGGCGCGUGCGCGUACGAGUGCGAGUGCGUGUGCGUGUGCGUGUGUGUGUCUCCCUCUAAACCCCGUGGCGUCCUGAACACGGAAAAGAGACAAAGAAAGAAGAGUGAUUGUUUACUUGGCCUACGUUACCGAAGUUAUCGCUUAUGUUACCGACUUUAUCGCUUUGUACGUUACGGGGUUCGGUGUGACCGGACUAGAAUUUGAGUACGUGUGCAAGAGGUGAACACGUCGUAGAGGCGUUGCCGACGUGUUGCGUCGGUUUUGUCGUACGUAAAUCGGCCGACUGUGAUUGUUGGAGGUACGUUAGAUCGACUGAUUGUGUCCAUAUGUGCGGUGAACGUGCAGGUCCGGCGUAAAAGUAACCCGAGCAAGGACCAAGUGACUUUGUGCGCGGAUGUGUUUUACUGAGGUUCUCGUGAACGUACCAACGGGAGCCCAUGCUUGAACGCCUACACGAGUGCAACGACGGCGGCGUGUCCGAAGAAAGAUAGAGACACGAAGAGGACGACGACUAGGCGGGCACAAUACUUCGUUGUGUACGUUAAAAGGAACUUGGAUGAUUACUUUAAUAUACUGUUAAUUUGAUACGUCAUGUUAUUUUGUAUUUGACCUGGAUAUUUUGUUCCGAUUGAGAUUGUCUCGUUACGUGAUCACAAUCAAACCCAGAAACGUAAGUGAAACACAAACUAUAAAACUUGUCCCCAAGUCGUUAUGGCCUUCGGUUUAGAGUCGUAGACAUCGAGGUCUCCCCUUUAGACAUCAGACACACACGGACACUCCUGAGGGUACACAAUUUACACAUACAGACCUUGUACCGUUGUCAGGGACAGGUUCGUCUUCGUCUUCGACUUCGUCCUCAGGUACUACAUCGACAGCUUGAGCGUACCGGGCCAUAGUAAACUCA